GAUUAAGUUAUUAAGGGCGCACGGUGGAUGCCUUGGCACUAGAAGCCGAUGAAGGACGUUACUAACGACGAUAUGCUUUGGGGAGCUGUAAGUAAGCUUUGAUCCAGAGAUUUCCGAAUGGGGAAACCCAGCAUGAGUUAUGUCAUGUUAUCGAUAUGUGAAUACAUAGCAUAUCAGAAGGCACACCCGGAGAACUGAAACAUCUUAGUACCCGGAGGAAGAGAAAGAAAAUUCGAUUCCCUUAGUAGCGGCGAGCGAAACGGGAAGAGCCCAAACCAACAAGCUUGCUUGUUGGGGUUGUAGGACACUCUGUACGGAGUUACAAAGGACGACAUUAGACGAAUCAUCUGGAAAGAUGAAUCAAAGAAGGUAAUAAUCCUGUAGUCGAAAAUGUUGUCUCUCUUGAGUGGAUCCUGAGUACGACGGAGCACGUGAAAUUCCGUCGGAAUCUGGGAGGACCAUCUCCUAAGGCUAAAUACUCUCUAGUGACCGAUAGUGAACCAGUACCGUGAGGGAAAGGUGAAAAGCACCCCGGAAGGGGAGUGAAAUAGAACCUGAAACCGUGUGCUUACAAGUAGUCAGAGCCCGUUAAUGGGUGAUGGCGUGCCUUUUGUAGAAUGAACCGGCGAGUUACGAUUUGAUGCAAGGUUAAGCAGUAAAUGUGGAGCCGUAGCGAAAGCGAGUCUGAAUAGGGCGUUUAGUAUUUGGUCGUAGACCCGAAACCAGGUGAUCUACCCUUGGUCAGGUUGAAGUUCAGGUAACACUGAAUGGAGGACCGAACCGACUUACGUUGAAAAGUGAGCGGAUGAACUGAGGGUAGCGGAGAAAUUCCAAUCGAACCUGGAGAUAGCUGGUUCUCUCCGAAAUAGCUUUAGGGCUAGCCUCAAGUGAUGAUUAUUGGAGGUAGAGCACUGUUUGGACGAGGGGCCCCUCUCGGGUUACCGAAUUCAGACAAACUCCGAAUGCCAAUUAAUUUAACUUGGGAGUCAGAACAUGGGUGAUAAGGUCCGUGUUCGAAAGGGAAACAGCCCAGACCACCAGCUAAGGUCCCAAAAUAUAUGUUAAGUGGAAAAGGAUGUGGCGUUGCCCAGACAACUAGGAUGUUGGCUUAGAAGCAGCCAUCAUUUAAAGAGUGCGUAAUAGCUCACUAGUCGAGUGACACUGCGCCGAAAAUGUACCGGGGCUAAACAUAUUACCGAAGCUGUGGAUUGUCCUUUGGACAAUGGUAGGAGAGCGUUCUAAGGGCGUUGAAGCAUGAUCGUAAGGACAUGUGGAGCGCUUAGAAGUGAGAAUGCCGGUGUGAGUAGCGAAAGACGGGUGAGAAUCCCGUCCACCGAUUGACUAAGGUUUCCAGAGGAAGGCUCGUCCGCUCUGGGUUAGUCGGGUCCUAAGCUGAGGCCGACAGGCGUAGGCGAUGGAUAACAGGUUGAUAUUCCUGUACCACCUAUAAUCGUUUUAAUCGAUGGGGGGACGCAGUAGGAUAGGCGAAGCGUGCGAUUGGAUUGCACGUCUAAGCAGUAAGGCUGAGUAUUAGGCAAAUCCGGUACUCGUUAAGGCUGAGCUGUGAUGGGGAGAAGACAUUGUGUCUUCGAGUCGUUGAUUUCACACUGCCGAGAAAAGCCUCUAGAUAGAAAAUAGGUGCCCGUACCGCAAACCGACACAGGUAGUCAAGAUGAGAAUUCUAAGGUGAGCGAGCGAACUCUCGUUAAGGAACUCGGCAAAAUGACCCCGUAACUUCGGGAGAAGGGGUGCUCUUUAGGGUUAACGCCCAGAAGAGCCGCAGUGAAUAGGCCCAAGCGACUGUUUAUCAAAAACACAGGUCUCUGCUAAACCGUAAGGUGAUGUAUAGGGGCUGACGCCUGCCCGGUGCUGGAAGGUUAAGAGGAGUGGUUAGCUUCUGCGAAGCUACGAAUCGAAGCCCCAGUAAACGGCGGCCGUAACUAUAACGGUCCUAAGGUAGCGAAAUUCCUUGUCGGGUAAGUUCCGACCCGCACGAAAGGCGUAACGAUUUGGGCACUGUCUCAACGAGAGACUCGGUGAAAUCAUAGUACCUGUGAAGAUGCAGGUUACCCGCGACAGGACGGAAAGACCCCGUGGAGCUUUACUGUAGCCUGAUAUUGAAAUUCGGCACAGCUUGUACAGGAUAGGUAGGAGCCUUUGAAACGUGAGCGCUAGCUUACGUGGAGGCGCUGGUGGGAUACUACCCUAGCUGUGUUGGCUUUCUAACCCGCACCACUUAUCGUGGUGGGAGACAGUGUCAGGCGGGCAGUUUGACUGGGGCGGUCGCCUCCUAAAAGGUAACGGAGGCGCUCAAAGGUUCCCUCAGAAUGGUUGGAAAUCAUUCAUAGAGUGUAAAGGCAUAA
RNAcentral lists this ribosomal RNA (2363 nucleotides) under Staphylococcus aureus. RNAcentral's name for it is "partial 23S ribosomal RNA". It matches the Rfam family "Bacterial large subunit ribosomal RNA", at positions 1 to 2362 of the family's 2925-position model. The record is from RNAcentral. Lineage: Bacteria; Bacillati; Bacillota; Bacilli; Caryophanales; Staphylococcaceae.